Non-coding RNA from Pogona vitticeps (central bearded dragon), 428 nucleotides. Lineage: Eukaryota; Metazoa; Chordata; Lepidosauria; Squamata; Agamidae. The record is from RefSeq and is a predicted model, not a curated record.
GACUUUCUAAUAUCUAGAUUGAAACUAGGCAAGUGAUGAGCACAAAGAGUUUAAAAAGAUUAACAGUGGAUAUUUAUAUUUUACAGGCAAGGAACACUUGUGUUAUAAGCUGCUUACCAUGAUGCAGCCCAAAUGGGACAAUUCAUGGACUAUUAGGAGAUGCAACGUGGAUGCCCCGUGGGGCAGACUACAGCGAGAGAUGGUUACCUAGUGAGCCUGAUGUUUGGAGCCUAUGCUGCAGAAGUCCACCAUUCCAACAAGAUAUCACGCUGGUUCUCAUGCUGGAUGUUGCUCCCUAAGCACAUAAAACAGAAACUAAAACUAAGGAGCCUUAAGUGGAGAUGGAGGUGCUAAUUUUUAAAACCGAGAAACUACUGGAGGUGGAAUAUUAUUUCUUCUUUCUGAAUUAGUAUUUAGGCUCACAUCAG